CUACCUAGACCACAGCCCUGAGGGGGUGGGGAAAACGGAGGCAAAGACAAAUCAUCCCACUUGCCCCUGAUCACACGGCCACCGCCCACAGCACACGCCCAUCCUACCAGAGGCAGCACCGUGACGGCUGUAAAGUUCUGGGUGGUGACCCAGGACAUGCAAGGCUGACACACAGGAAACUCUGCACCAGCUCUGCCCCAGAGCGUCCCCCGUGGUCCUCACGUUGGCGCCUGGGGCGGGGGGGGGGGGGGGGCAGACCAGCCCUCACUUCACAGAAACGGAGGCCUCUGCCUUGGGCCCCGGGACACACGGGGCUCCCCGGUGACUUCAGAGAGGGUCUCAGACGAGUUUCAGGCGUGGCCUGGGCAGCGCAAAGCUGCUUGCUCCACACGACAGGUGACAGGUGACACGCACAGAGGUCUCGAGCAGACCUUUCUCUCAGAAAAGACACGACGCAUAAUCUUCCCCAAGAUACCACUUUGCACCCAUGAGACCAUCGAGGAAAACAAAGGCCGUUCACGCUACAUUAGCUCAGUCAUUCCCCACGCGGUGGGUACUCUUGAGGCCACGUGGCAACACUCUCAACACGACAAGGGCAGGCGCGCUCCUACCUAACGGCGGGUCGACUGCCACCACUCGCAUUGGGAAAAGAAAAGGAGUACGCCCAAGACCAUGUCUGCGCAUGAAGACAUAGAAUAUUCUGGAAGGCGACGCAAGGAAGCGGUGACCAUGGCUGGCUCCAAGCAGGUGGUCAGGAUAGAGCUGCACAGCGGCCUUGCUCCUGUCUGAAGCCCUGUAUCCAGCCCUGGGUCAGCGCACAGUAGGGAUGCAAUCAAUGUUUGUGCAAUCAACAGUCCCCAGACAGACCCCACCGGCAGCAUCGGGCGGCUGGAACCAACCAUCUGCCCUAGACGGGGCCGCGGAGUGACUCUCAUCUGCGCCGGGACCCGCAGUGAGUCCUGGGCCUCCCGACACCAAUCGGAAGAAUGGGCAUCCUGACUGCCAGCCCCAACCACCCCAUGCCUGGGUUACAGGCCGAGUGGGGGAGAGGCUCUGAGCCCCUGUUCAAUUCCCCUGCAAGGGAGAAAUGCCCUGGGCAGUCGGGGGCGCCGGGGAGGGCAUGCCCGUGUCCCUUGUCCCCACCAUCACCAUUGUCACCUGCUCAGAAGAGACUAAAAACCCCAACAUCGGCCAGAUCCCAACAGUGGGCCGUCCUCCCAAACAGCCAGCCGGUCCUCCUCAAGAUGGUCAAGGUCACGAAGACAGGAGCUUCUGAGAAACCCUCACGACCAGAGGAAACUGAGGAGAUGUGACAAGUCGUUGCAAGGUGGGCUCAUGGGACAGCGAAGGGGCUUGAGGGGCAAAUGGAGGAAAACCCAAACAAAGCAUGGACUCCACUUAUACUAACCUGUUGGGACUGAUCUGCUGACCCGGAUGAAGGGGCCAGUGUGCUAACUCUCGGCGAAACCGUAGUACUUCCCAUAAAUCUAAAACUGUUCUAAAACACAGUCGUUAAGACACUUGACCAAGCCACCAACUCUGGACGCAGUCUUCGUCUCCUGGUCCCCUUUCCUCCCAGCCCCACCUGGCCCCAGAAGGACAGUCGGCUGGGACCAGCCCGGCCCGGGAGCCCUGUCUGCUGGGUACCAUCUCCAACUCUCAAAACCUGGCCCAGGCGUUGUCCUCACUCAUCAUUCCACUUCACAGAUGGGGAAGCUGAGGCUCUGACACAGGAAAGGAUUUUCACAAAGCUGCACUUAGGGCACACCUGGGAUCCGAACUCAGCUCUCUCUAACCCCAGAGCCCCGUCACCAGUGUUUCCCCAACUUGAGCAGGCACCGGAAUCCCCCAGAGGGUUUGUUAACCGCCCCCCCCCCCAUUCCCCGAGUUUCUGACUCCGUCGUCUGGGAGGGUCUCACACGUCCGACCGGUUCCCAGAUGACGCUGAGGCUGCAUCGAGACCCCACCGAAAACCACACAGCCCUACCGUGCUGUCUCCCGGGCAGCGCCACCCCACACUCAGGCACGGGGAAACCACGCACCCCUCCCUGCUGCCUGCUGAGCCCGCCCCUCCUGCCCGGCCACGUGACCCGGGGCCUGUGCCUCGGUCUCCCCAUCUGCGAAGUGACGUACGCUGCCCAGCUGUAGUGAGGAUUAAAAGGCAAAUCCGGGGAACUCAUUCCAGGAGCAGCUCCUGGCUCACGGGGAGGCCGGCCACAUGCCUGACCUUGGAUCCUUGGAUGAGAGGGCAUGAGGGAGGAGCUCUUUGGACAGUGGAGCACUCCCAGUCGCCACGGCUGCUCCCGCCAGGCCCUCGGGCAGCAGGACCCCACUCCCAGGGCUCCUCUGUGCCCACUCGCCUUGGGGACAGGACACCAGGAUGUGUUCCUUUCCCACACCACACCCUCACCAGCUCCUGCCUCGGGCGGGGUCUCUGCCAUCAGACCGAAGGGCACGCUCCCACCCCUCGCGCAAGGGGCUCAGGGGUGAAGUGACUCGCAGUGGGGUGACGGGUGUCCCCCCAUAUCCACAUCCACCUGGAACGCGACCUUAUUUGGAAACAAGGUCUUUGCAGAUGUGAUUAGUUAAGAACGUUGUGAUGAGAUCAUCCUGGAUUUAAGGCUGGCUCUAAGUGCAAGGACAGGUGUCUCCAUAAGAGGAAGGACACAGAGACAGGGAGGAGGCCGUAUGGGGACAGAGGCAGGCAGGGAGGACCUUCCCCUGGAGCCUCCGGAGGUCCUGUGGCGACCCUGCGGGCACCCUGGUUUUGGACUUCUCAUCAAGUUCUGAUCAAGAAUUCACCAUCGAUCCUAACUAUGAGACUGGGUCACUUGGAUAUCUGGAAUUUAUCCCAAAGAAGUAGUAAGUUUAGGGGCGGCAUGGUGGCCUGGUCCGUUAAGCGUUCGACUUCGGCUCAGGUCAGGAGCUCACGGUUCGUGGGUCCGAGUCCCAUUGUCAGACUCUGCACUCACAGUGCGCAGCCUCCUCGGGAUUCCCGCUCUCUCUCCCUCUCUCUCUGCCCCUCCCCAGCUGUGCCCUUUCUCCCGCUCUCAAAAAUAAAUUAACAAAAAAAAGGAAAUAACAGUUAACAAAAUUGGAAAUGAAAGAUGACCAAAACGGCACCAUUUACAAACGCAACAAGCUGGAAAUGACCCAAGACCAACUGUUGGCGGAAGGUGACACAGGCAUCAGAGUGUGGAAGGACGCGCAGGGCCCACACUAAACACGUACGGGUCUCGGCCCCACAGCCGGGUGACGGCACGCCUCUGCGGGCGGCGAGGGCAGAGGAGGUAAGGUGGACAACUGCGUGCACUGCGCACGUCCCUGGCGGCAAGAGUCAAACUCAGGCUCCGCAGAGGAGGACGGCCUGGGUGGUGUUGGUGAAGCACCGAGAGCAGGUCCUGUGCCCAGCUUCCCCCGCCCCGCUGCCUGUCCCUCUCAAGUGGCCUGCCACCUCCAGGGAUCGCGGCUGUGAGAGGCUGGUGUGGCUGGUGGCAGGCCUCGCCCCUAAGAGCUACAGUGAAAAAUACGCGAGCAGACCUCCCUCGACGGCACUGUCCCUGUCCCGGCAGGUGGCUCCUCGGGGGCCAGGCUGGAGGUGGCCCUUUGAAAGGCUCCCAGUGCCAGGAGCAUUCGGCCUGCUGCCCUGCCGGGGAGGGGAGAGAGGGCGGCGGUGUGGUCCCCAGCGCCCGGGCACCCUCCCCUGCUUGGGCCCCAGAGGUUCCUCCAAGGCCUCGGUUUACUUGUCAGAGAUGUGCUGGGACGGCAACCCAAAGCCCUGGACCGUGGGGGGCUGAGUGGAUACCCCAGACGUGGCCUCUGCGCGCGAGGCACUCUCACUCCGCCUGAAAAAGGAGGGCCUGAGCACAUCAUGCUGAGUCAAGCAGGCCAGUCACAAGAGGACCGAUACUGUACCACCCACUCAGAUGAGGUGCGCGGGUGCCGGGGGUAAGCGCUUUCACAGAGACAGAAGGAAGGGCGGCGGCAGGCGGGGCUGGGAGAGGGGGCCGGGAGGGAGGGUGUGCGGCGGGCGGGGGCAGAGUUCCGGUCCGCAAAGCGGAGGCGGGUUCGGCCGCACACAGCGUGAGUGCGCUUGAUGUCUCGGCCCUCACUGUCCGCUUACACACGGUUAAGAGCGCGAACUUUAUGUUACGUACAUUUUGCCACGAUUAAAACCCAAAACGGUAAGCUGGCGCCGAAUGCCUCCUCUGUGCCCCGCGCCGGGGAGGCCCGCAGCGAAGCCUGAAGGAUGACGGUCCUUGAGCUCCAAGGGCGGGGUCUGGGUGCGACGGCUG
Long non-coding RNA from Neofelis nebulosa (Clouded leopard), 4295 nucleotides. RefSeq lists it as uncharacterized. NCBI's taxonomy places the organism in Eukaryota, Metazoa, Chordata, Mammalia, Carnivora, Felidae. The record is from RefSeq and is a predicted model, not a curated record. The transcript is spliced from 3 exons.